GGUGCCAGCAGCCGCGGUAAUUCCAGCUCCAAUAGCGUAUACUAAAGUUGUUGCAGUUAAAAAGCUCGUAGUUGGAUUUCUGGCGGGGACGGCUGGUCGGUCUCGAAAGGGGCUGUACUGUUGUUGGUUCCCGUCAUCCCUGGGGAGAGCGGCUCUUACAUUAAGUUGUCGGCGUCGGGAUCCCUAUCUUUUACUGUGAAAAAAUUAGAGUGUUCAAAGCAGGCUUAGGCCCUGAAUACAUUAGCAUGGAAUAAUAAGAUACGACCUUGGUGGUCUAUUUUGUUGGUUUGCACGCCAAGGUAAUGAUUAAUAGGGAUAGUUGGGGGUAUUCGUAUUCAAUUGUCAGAGGUGAAAUUCUUGGAUUUAUGGAAGACGAACUACUGCGAAAGCAUUUACCAAGGAUGUUUUCAUUAAUCAAGAACGAAAGUUAGGGGAUCGAAGAUGAUUAGAUACCAUCGUAGUCUUAACCAUAAACUAUGCCGACUAGGGAUCGGUGGGUGCAUUUUUAGGCCUCAUCGGCACCUUAUGAGAAAUCAAAGUCUUUGGG
This 547-nucleotide ribosomal RNA is filed under the name uncultured Nannochloropsis. RNAcentral describes it as "SSU rRNA". It matches the Rfam family "Eukaryotic small subunit ribosomal RNA", at positions 563 to 1111 of the family's 1831-position model. The record is from RNAcentral. Lineage: Eukaryota; Eustigmatophyceae; Eustigmatales; Monodopsidaceae.